RNAcentral lists this ribosomal RNA (621 nucleotides) under uncultured bacterium. RNAcentral describes it as "bacterial SSU rRNA". It matches the Rfam family "Bacterial small subunit ribosomal RNA", at positions 240 to 861 of the family's 1533-position model. The record is from RNAcentral.
AUUAGCUUGUUGGUGAGAUAAAAGCCCACCAAGGCGAUGAUGCGUAGCCGAUCUGAGAGGAUGACCGGCCACAUUGGGACUGAGACACGGCCCAGACUCCUGCGGGAGGCAGCAGUAGGGAAUUUUCGGCAAUGGGGGGAACCCUGACCGAGCAACGCCGCGUGAACGAAGAAGGUCUUUGGAUCGCAGAGUUCUGUUGUAAGGGAAUAAACGAUCAUAUAGGGAAUGAUAUGAUUCUGACGGUACCUUACCAGAAAGCCACGGCUAACUACGUGCCAGCAGCCGCGGUAAUACGUAGGUGGCGAGCGUUAUCCGGAAUUAUUGGGCGUAAAGGGUGCGUAGGCGGCCUGAAAAGUCUGUGGUGAAAUCGUGGGGCUCAACCCCAUCAAGCCCCAGAAACUAUCAGGCUGGAGAACAGCAGAGGCAAGCGGAAUUCCAUGUGUAGCGGUAAAAUGCGUAGAUAUAUGGAGGAACACCGGUGGCGAAGGCGGCUUGCUGGGCUGUUACUGACGCUGAGGCACGAAAGCGUGGGGAGCUAAUAGGAUUAGAUACCCUAGUAGUCCACGCCGUAAACGAUGAAUACUAAGUGUUGGAGAAAUUCAGUGCUGCAGUUAACGCAAU